RNAcentral lists this unclassified non-coding RNA (2588 nucleotides) under Manduca sexta (tobacco hornworm). RNAcentral's name for it is "protein hu-li tai shao, transcript variant X1". Lineage: Eukaryota; Metazoa; Arthropoda; Insecta; Lepidoptera; Sphingidae. The record is from RNAcentral.
UGCGACAGUAGCGCUGCGGCCGGUAGAAAAACGAACUCAUGCCGACAUCGAUCUACUCCGGUGGCGUGUUGAAAGAUUUCUUUUUUACGAACGAAAUAUUGAAAUAAACGCGUUUGCGCGUAAUGUCGGUGGUGCUAGUGCGUUGAAAAUUGUAAAAGAACGUACUGUGCGUGAUAUUUUAUAUAAUGUUACGUGGUUUACGUGCUUAGUGUAAGUUACAAUAGCUUCUCAUUAUAAAGUGGGAGUGAUUGUGUGAAGUGGUACAAAAAUCAUCUUUUUCGCCUAUUGGAGCCAACUGCCGGGUUGUGCAUGACUCCAGGCGGUGUGCACUGAAGGCGUUCAUCACGAGAUAUUGAAACGUACAGUUAAGCGGUGGUUAUGGCGGACGCGGAUACAGAGAGGCUGCCUAACGGCACAGCAGCGCUCUCCGCCGAAGAGGAGGAGCGGCUGAAACAGCGCCCGGCGGACAUCGACGCUGAUGUCCGUGAGAUGGAGCGUCGCAAGCGCGUGGAGGCGCUGAUGUCAUCGAAGCUGUUCCGCGAGGAGCUGGAGCGCGUGCUGGACCAGCAGAUGCACGAGGGAGGCGACGCGCCACUGCUGCAGCGCAUACGCGAGAUGGUCGGCGGGCGGCUGCACACCGGUAGCCUCAGGGGUCCCAGCUGCGUGUUGCCCAUCAACGACAUCCGCGGCAUCGAGGGCAUCGGCUACGAGAAGGGCGAGAAGAUCUUGCGCUGCAAGCUCGCAGCCGUCUAUCGCCUCGUCGACCUGUUCGGCUGGACCCAGACCGGCAUCACGGGUCAGAUCACCGCUCGUCUGAAUACGGCGGUGGAGCAGGUGCUGACGACGCCACGCGGACUGCUGCCGCACGAGGUGACCGCCUCCUCGCUCGUCAAGGUGGAUAUGCAGGGCGCCGUCCAGGACCAGGGCACCACCAACUUCCCCAUCAACGUUGAAGGGUUCUCGCUGCACGCGUCGGUGCACGCGGCGCGGCCGGAUAUCCGCUGCGUGCUGCACGUGCGGUCGCCGGGCGCGCUGGCGGUGUCGGCCACGCGCCGCGGCCUGCUGCCGCUCUGCAACGAGGCCGCGCUGCUCGGAGACGUCGCCUACCACCGCGUGCCGCACGGCAUGCUGGACAACGAGGAGCGCGACAAGCUGGUGCGCGCGCUGGGUCCGCACGCGAAGGUGCUGAUGCUGAGCAGCGCCGGCGCGCUGUGCUGCGGCGCCACGCUGGAGGAGGCCUUCCACCAGGCGCGCCACCUCACCGCCGCCUGCGACGUGCAGCUGCGCCUCGCCGCGCUGCCGCUCGACGAACUCAACAUCAUCGACGAGGACACCAGGAAACAGAUCUACGAGUCGUCUCGCAAGCCUCCGUCGGACGCUACCAAGUGGCGCGUGGGCGGCGAGGAGUUCGAGGCGCUGAUGCGCAUGCUCGACAACGCCGGCUUCCGCACCGGCUACAUCUACCGGCACCCGCUCAUCAAGAACGACGUUCCCAAGCCGAAGAACGACGUGGAGGUCCCUCCGGCCGUGUCCUCGCUCGGGUAUCUACUCGAGGAGGAGGAAUUGUACAAGCAAGGGUUAUGGAAGAAGGGCCAGGGCAAGACCGGCGAGCGCACGCGCUGGCUCAACUCGCCCAACGUGUACCAGAAGGUCGAGGUGCUGGAGACCGGCACCACCGACCCCAAGAAGAUCACCAAGUGGGUGGACGCUAACAACGAAGAGUGGGUCCAGGACGGGUCGCCGGCUCACUCGAGCACCCCGGUGAAGAUCGACACGCUACAGUUUGUGCCCAAAAACACCAACCCCAAGGAGUUCAAGCAGCUUCAACAGCAGAUCAAGGAGAACCGUCGCGCGGAGAAGAUCAGCGCCGGACCGCAGUCGCACAUCCUGGAGGGCGUCACGUGGGACGAGGCCAGCAAGCUCGUCGGCGAGGACGCCGUCAACACGCACACCGGCGAUCACGUGGUGCUGAUGGGCGCGGCGUCCAAGGGCAUCAUCCAGCGCGGCUACCAACACAACGCGACCGUGUACAGCGCGCCGUACGCGCGCAACCCCUUCGACCACAUCACCGACAACGAGAUCGACGAGUACAAGCGCGAUGUGGAGAGGAAGCGCCGCGGGAACGACUACGACACGGACCUGUCGGAGUCGGAGGCGAUCAGCGCGGCGCAGUUCACGUCGCCCGCCAGCGCGCCCUCCGAGACCGAGGAGGAGUCGCGCGACGAACACCGCGUGCUGAGAAUAGAGACAAAGCAGGCGCCCGUACGCAGCCAGCCGGAGGUCGUGCUCAGCGAUGCGGACGCGACCGACUUCUUGAACGCGGAGCGCGCGCACGCCGAUCUCACCAGAGCGCCAGGUCGCGAGGACAUGUUCUCCGACGACGAGGUGUUCCUCGAGCAAAGUCGAAGGCGCCGCCGCAGGGACUCUUCACAACCAGGGCGCAACAUAUAGUCGUGCACAGGGCGCUUCCUAGAGGCGAGCACACCGUCAACGGGGACCAUUCUGAUGCUCAUCAAAGCACCUUCUCUCAUAGCAGUAAAGAGGGCUCGCCAUCAAAAGAGGUGUCGACCGAGGACUCGCCGAAGAAA